Molecule: ribosomal RNA, 463 nt
Filed under: uncultured bacterium
Lineage: Bacteria
Description: partial 16S ribosomal RNA
Rfam family: Bacterial small subunit ribosomal RNA
Source: RNAcentral
GACGAACGCUGGCGGCGUGCUUAACACAUGCAAGUCGAACGGAAAGGCCUUUUCGGAGGUACUCGAGUGGCGAACGGGUGAGUAACACGUGGGUGAUCUGCCCUGCACUCUGGGAUAAGCCUGGGAAACUGGGUCUAAUACCGGAUAGGACCGCACUUUAGUGUGUGUGGUGGAAAGUUUUUUCGGUGUAGGAUGAGCCCGCGGCCUAUCAGCUUGUUGGUGGGGUAAUGGCCUACCAAGGCGGCGACGGGUAGCCGGACUGAGAGGUUGGUCGGCCACAUUGGGACUGAGAUACGGCUCAGACUCCUACGGGAGGCAGCAGUGGGGAAUAUUGCACAAUGGGCGCAAGCCUGAUGCAGCGACGCCGCGUGGGGGAUGACGGCCUUCGGGUUGUAAACUCCUUUCGCCAGGGACGAAGCGUUUUGUGACGGUACCUGGAGAAGAAGCACCGGCUAACUACGUG